This is a long non-coding RNA of Zalophus californianus (California sea lion), 619 nucleotides long. RefSeq lists it as uncharacterized. The transcript has 3 exons. The record is from RefSeq and is a predicted model, not a curated record. Lineage: Eukaryota; Metazoa; Chordata; Mammalia; Carnivora; Otariidae.
AGGAUCUCCACCCAGAGAAGAGAGAGGCUGAGAAGUUCAGGUUGUGCUUAGCAGAGGAUCAGUUUGAGACCUACACUGACUGCAUCCCCAGGGCUUUCAUCUCUUCUGUUUCCAUUUGUGUAAGGAAGCUGAGAUUCAGAAAGUUCUGCAUAAGAGAGCCAGUGUUUUGAUGUUGCCACACAGAGGAAGAUGGCAACCAGCAGCCAUUUAGCCUUGAAGAGCAGCAACCAACCAUCAGAGAGACCCUGGCUUCCCCAUUGCUGUCAGGAAAAGGAAACACGCCUGCCAAAGGUCACCCAGUUGGAAAGUGGUGGCACUGGGAUCUGCACCCAGCUGGCUGUCCCUGGAGACCCCCAUGAACCAGGGCACAGUGGUGACGACCCAGGAGAGCAGCAGCAACGAAGGCUGUGGAAAGGAUAAGAUUCAGAUGCCCAGAGCUGCAGAGGAAGAGCUUUCCAGGUGGAGGGCGUUCCAUGGGUAAAGGCCCAGUCCUGGGAAUGAAUGGUGUGCACUGAGAACGGAAGGAGCUGAGUGGGAGCUCCCAGGACACCUGGGGUCAAGCCGUGGCACUCCUGAGUGCAGGGCAGGAACGAAGAAACAGACUCUGGGCCUAGGUUCA